GCCUACGGGGCGCAGCAGUAGGGAAUCUUCCACAAUGGGCGAAAACCUGAUGGAGCAACGCCGCGUGGGUGAAGAAGGUCUUCGGAUCGUAAAACCCUGUUGUUAGAGAAGAAAGUGCGUGAGAGUAACUGUUCACGUUUCGACGGUAUCUAACCAGAAAACCACGGCUAACUACGUGCCAGCAGCCGCGGUAAUACGUAGGUGGCAAGCGUUAUCCGGAUUUAUUGGGCGUAAAGGGAACGCAGGCGGUCUCUUAAGUCUGAUGUGAAAGCCUCCGGCUUAACCGGAGUAGUGCAUUGGAAACU
RNAcentral lists this ribosomal RNA (305 nucleotides) under uncultured bacterium. RNAcentral's name for it is "bacterial SSU rRNA". It matches the Rfam family "Bacterial small subunit ribosomal RNA", at positions 337 to 634 of the family's 1533-position model. The record is from RNAcentral.